RNAcentral lists this ribosomal RNA (489 nucleotides) under Egonia cineracea. RNAcentral's name for it is "Kneiffiella cineracea partial 28S ribosomal RNA". It matches the Rfam family "Eukaryotic large subunit ribosomal RNA", at positions 183 to 654 of the family's 3401-position model. Lineage: Eukaryota; Fungi; Basidiomycota; Agaricomycetes; Hymenochaetales. The record is from RNAcentral.
AAGUCUCUUGGAACAGAGCGUCAUAGAGGGUGAGAAUCCCGUCCAUGACACGGACUACCGAUGCUAUGUGAUACACUCUCAAAGAGUCGAGUUGUUUGGGAAUGCAGCUCAAAAUGGGUGGUAAAUUCCAUCUAAAGCUAAAUAUUGGCGAGAGACCGAUAGCGAACAAGUACCGUGAGGGAAAGAUGAAAAGCACUUUGGAAAGAGAGUUAAACAGUACGUGAAAUUGUUGAAAGGGAAACGCUUGAAGUCAGUCGCGUUGUUCAGGACUCAGCCUUGUUUUUGCUUGGUGUACUUCCUGUUCAACGGGUCAACAUCGAUUUUGACCGGCGGAUAAAGGUGGGGGGAAUGUGGCACCUUCGGGUGUGUUAUAGCCCUCUAUUGCAUACGUCGGUUGGGAUUGAGGACCGCAGCGCGCCCUCUGGGCCAGGGGUUCGCCCCAUGUAACGCGCUUAGGAUGUUGGCAUAAUGGCUUUAAGCGACCCGUCU